AGCUAAUAGAUACCCCGGUAGUCCACGCCGUAAACGAUGGCCACUCGGCCUUUGGUGGCGAAAACCUCCGUCGCUGGGGGCCUUAGCUAAACGCGGGAAGUGGCCCGCCUGGGAACUACGAGCGCAAGCUUAAAACUCAAAGGAAUUGACGGGGGCCCGCACAAGCAGCGGAGCGUGUGGUUUAAUUCGACGCGACGCGCAGAACCUUACCCAGGUUUGACAUGGCACUGCAGGCGGCUGAAAGGCCGUCGCCUUCGAGGGUGUGCCACAGAUGCUGCAUGGCUGUCGUCAGCUCGUGCCGUGAGAUGUUGGGUUAAGUCCCGCAACGAGCGCAACCCCGUACGGUCAGUUAUAUGUGUCUGGCCGGACUGCCCCUUUGGGGUAGGAAGGCGGGGAUGACGUCAAGUCCGCAUGGCUCUUACGCCUGGGGCGACACACA
RNAcentral lists this ribosomal RNA (439 nucleotides) under uncultured bacterium. RNAcentral describes it as "bacterial SSU rRNA". It matches the Rfam family "Bacterial small subunit ribosomal RNA", at positions 774 to 1222 of the family's 1533-position model. The record is from RNAcentral.